UCACGCAUCGYGUCUCCCCAACAUCCACCAUGAGUGGACGGGAAGGAGGAUGGUCUCCCGCUUCUCACCGGUAGCGGCUGGCCUAAAAUCGGAGCCCUCGGCAUAGUGAAGUCGCGGCUAUAGGUGGUGAACAUGGCUAUGGCCAAGCAAGCAACCAGUCGCGCGUCACCAUGCCAAUGUGAGCUCGAUGGACCCUUUGGUGUUGCUUUCUUGCAACCAAACCUUUGCGAC
Molecule: ribosomal RNA, 231 nt
Filed under: Silene laeta
Lineage: Eukaryota; Viridiplantae; Streptophyta; Magnoliopsida; Caryophyllales; Caryophyllaceae
Source: RNAcentral